This 72-nucleotide transfer RNA is filed under the name Neucentropus mandjuricus. RNAcentral describes it as "tRNA-Leu". The record is from RNAcentral. Lineage: Eukaryota; Metazoa; Arthropoda; Insecta; Trichoptera; Polycentropodidae.
ACUAUUUUGGCAGAAUUUAAUGUAUUAAUUUUAGAAAUUAAAUAUAAAUAAUGAUCAAUUAUUUAAAUAGUA